CCUACGGGGGACAGCAGUGAGGAAUAUUGGACAAUGGGCGUACGCCUGAACCAGCGAAGUCGCGUGAGGGAAGACUGCUCUAUGGGUUGUAAACCUCUUUUGUCAGGGAGCAACGCCGGCUACGUGUAGCCGGACUGAGAGUACCUGAAGAAACAGCAUCGGCUAACUCCGUGCCAGCAGCAGCGGUAAUACGGAGGAUGCGAGCGUUAUCCGGAUUUAUUGGGUUUAAAGGUUGCGUAGGCGGAAUGUAAGGUCAGCGGUAAAAUCGCGGGGCUCAACCUCGCUCCGCCGUUGAAACUGGCGUUCUUGAGUGGGCGAGAAGUAUGCGGAAUGCGUGGUGUAGCGGUGAAAUGCAUAGAUAUCACGAAGAACUCCGAUUGCGAAGGCAGCAUACCGGCGCCCAACUGACGCUGAAGCACGAAAGCGUGGGUAUCGAACAGGAUUAGAUACCCCUGUAGUC
Molecule: ribosomal RNA, 460 nt
Filed under: uncultured bacterium
Lineage: Bacteria
Description: partial 16S ribosomal RNA
Rfam family: Bacterial small subunit ribosomal RNA
Source: RNAcentral